UUGAUUGCUAGCUUCUCAGUAAAAUAAAGAAUUUCUUAUCCAACCAAUGGUGACUCUCAUGGUGAGAAAGUGGAAGAGGAGAGAAUAUGGCUGUGGAAAGGGAGAGGAAAACCAUUGUGUAAGCAAAGCUGUAAAGAUCAGAGAAUCGGAGAUCAGAGUGGUGGUGGAUGAAGACGCCGACGACGGUACAUCAAGAAGAAGCUAGGCGGAAACCGAUGAGACUAAAGACGGCGGCGGAGAACCACCGCGAACUACGUACUAGGGAGGUUCGUUAUAAGGACUACGACGCGAUUGCGUGUUGAUUUGGCAUGUUGCUAUGGAGAUAUGCUAUUUCACCAUAGACGACAGUGGAAAGGACGAUUAUCCAAACCAAAAAAUAUGCAGAAACAUCUCGGAAUAUUUAAUUUGGUGUACUUUCUGGUGAUGGAGGGGAAACUCACGUCCACAGUCCCCGGAAACAUAGGAAUGAGAUUCAGAGACAUAUAUAUGUCGGGAAGAAGGUAAACACACCCGUGAGGAACUCAAGGCCUGCAGGUUACUCUUUGCAGCUAUUAGGAAAAACAAUUAUUUCUUACUGUAUCAAACACGAGGCCUCUGCAAAAAUGGAGGACUUCAAGGAUUUCUGCACCAUCACCAACUGGAAAAACAACAAUGCACGCAGUAUACUUAGACAUCCAAUUAUAAAUUAAAUAAAUGCAUAUUUAUUUU
Molecule: long non-coding RNA, 708 nt
Organism: Ipomoea triloba (trilobed morning glory)
Lineage: Eukaryota; Viridiplantae; Streptophyta; Magnoliopsida; Solanales; Convolvulaceae
Exons: 2
Source: RefSeq, a predicted model, not a curated record